This 486-nucleotide ribosomal RNA is filed under the name uncultured bacterium. Its description in RNAcentral is "partial 16S ribosomal RNA". It matches the Rfam family "Bacterial small subunit ribosomal RNA", at positions 29 to 507 of the family's 1533-position model. The record is from RNAcentral.
AUUGAACGCUGGCGGCAUGCCUUACACAUGCAAGUCGAACGGCAGCACGGGGGGUAACCCCUGGUGGCGAGUGGCGAACGGGUGAGUAAUAUAUCGGAACGUGUCCUGUAGCGGGGGAUAACCUAUCGAAAGAUGGACUAAUACCGCAUACGACCUACGGGUGAAAGCGGAGGACCGCAAGGCUUCGCACUAUAGGAGCGGCCGAUAUCGGAUUAGCUAGUUGGCGGGGUAACGGCCCACCAAGGCGACGAUCCGUAGCUGGUCUGAGAGGACGAUCAGCCACACUGGAACGGAGACACGGUCCAGACUCCUACGGGAGGCAGCAGUGGGGAAUUUUGGACAAUGGGCGCAAGCCUGAUCCAGCCAUGCCGCGUGAGUGAAGAAGGCCUUCGGGUUGUAAAGCUCUUUCGGCGGGGACGAAACGGUUCGUGCUAAUACCACGGACUACUGACGGUACCCGCAGAAGAAGCACCGGCUAACUACGUG